GACGAACGCUGGCGGCGUGCUUAACACAUGCAAGUCGAACGGAAAGGCCCUGCUUUUGUGGGGUGCUCGAGUGGCGAACGGGUGAGUAACACGUGAGUAACCUGCCCUUGACUUUGGGAUAACUUCAGGAAACUGGGGCUAAUACCGGAUAGGGGCUCCUGCUGCAUGGUGGGGGUUGGAAAGUUUCGGCGGUUGGGGAUGGACUCGCGGCUUAUCAGCUUGUUGGUGGGGUAGUGGCUUACCAAGGCUUUGACGGGUAGCCGGCCUGAGAGGGUGACCGGCCACAUUGGGACUGAGAUACGGCCCAGACUCCUACGGGAGGCAGCAGUGGGGAAUAUUGCACAAUGGGCGGAAGCCUGAUGCAGCAACGCCGCGUGCGGGAUGACGGCCUUCGGGUUGUAAACCGCUUUCGCCUGUGACGAAGCGUGAGUGACGAUAAUGGGUAAAGAAGCACCGGCUAACUACGUG
RNAcentral lists this ribosomal RNA (468 nucleotides) under uncultured bacterium. Its description in RNAcentral is "partial 16S ribosomal RNA". It matches the Rfam family "Bacterial small subunit ribosomal RNA", at positions 28 to 507 of the family's 1533-position model. The record is from RNAcentral.